CUAACUAAUCAGGAACAAAAAUAUCAAAAUGACUGCUCUUUUUUGAACAAAGCGUGAUUUAUCUUAAUGAGUAACUUCCUCUGCUCAUUCUGUCUAUCACUGAAGUGGAGCUUCUCAUGGGGUUUCAAGGGGAUGGUUACUUGAUGUUCACUACAUACACACAUUUAGAAAUAGUCAUUAAAAACAUUGCUCACAGUUUGAAUAGCAAUUCAGAAAAACAUUUAUAUAUAUUCUGUAUCAAAGACUCACAUUGACCUAAGCCUAAGAGAUUUCAGCUACAUGUAACCACACAGAUAUCCAAGGGUAAUAUCAUCAGCUUACUUCAGCCCACAUCUGUGCUGCUUCACUAUUUCUUGGGAUGGAGUUCAUAUGAGGCAGGACAGAUAUUCAGCCCUUAGGUAAAGUAGCUGCUACAAAGGAAGGCCAUUCACAUGUGAAAGCAUCAGUUGUGGCAUACUUCAUUUCACACAGGCAAAAACAACUUAGUAAAUGCUCACAUUGGCACUACUUUCUCUAGAAACAUACUCAUGUGAUGGGAGAACUGUAGCGGAAUCUCCACAGUCUGAAGCUCCAUCCUCAGAUCUGCUCCAGGUCUCUGCUAUGGGUGCUUUGUCUGGGAGGCAUUUUGCUCCCUCUGACCACAUUGCAAACCACAUUUGGGUCUCUGUGGCACCUAGGGGCCCAUAAUACCAUUAGGGGCCCAGGAACAUCCUUUCUCUUUUUUAAAUCAGAAGAAAAAAGUGAACUAUUAGGUUAAAGAAAAUGCUUUAUUAUGUAAUAUUGAUAUAUUUGUCUUUAUGUCAACACAGUCAUACAUAUAUUUCUUGAUCUCUCUCUCUCUGUCUCUGUGUGUGUGCGUGUGUGUGUGUGUGUGUGUGUGUGUGAGGGGGCCCAUGAAAACAAAAGUGCCUAGAGCCCACAAAAGCCAUAAAGCUACCUACCAUGCCUUCAGUUCUCAAAACCUGUGUAUGAAUCCUGUAAGGGAACUGGAUGCUAAUACCAACUUCUCAUAAUAUCCUACUCAAACAUUCAUGCACCCUUAUUUUCUCAUUCUUUAGCAGAAAAACACUGUGUUCAACUCAAACAUAAAGAUAUCUUACAGGGCUACCGAUCAUUGUUCAUCCAAUUUACCCAGCCAAGUCUGAAUGACUUUAGACUCAGGCCAAAACCACGUCUACUACAUAGCACCUGCAAUAUUGUAUGAAAGGAGCUGGAAGAUUGAAGUUCACAAGUGUUCUGGGAUCACCUUAUCCAAAGUCUGGGAGAAUGGGAAGGGCUGGCAGAGGUAGCAUCCAAGUUGAGACCUGUGAUAUGGGUAGACUAUGGAUUAGAGAGGAGAGCUGAGGCAGAGGGAAGGGAGUGUUUAAAGGCGCUACAGUGAGUCAGAGAAGGUGAUUUGGGAGUGUGGAGUAGGAGGUAGGGGGAGUGGUGGGGUUGAAUAGGUAGGGCCAACUCAUAAAAGGCCUUAGAAAGAGUUUGUACAUUAACCUGAGUGAAAUUGUGGAGCUAGGUAAUUUUUCAUUUUAGAAAGUCAUCUCUGGAUGCAUUCUGGGGAAGCUAGAGAACCAAGAAAAAUGGGGCAAGAGUGGGCAUGGAGAGGGUCAACUCUGCAUCGCUGUAAGUGAAUAUAAGUUGAUUGUCUAAACUCAGCAAUGGUACAAUUACCUGAUAUUUAGUAUAGGAAAUCAGCAGACGUAUGUUAAUGAAUUUUAAAAAAUUGAGUGAGAGGAGAGUUUUAUUCCUCCCAGACUUAUUAAGAGGUCUCUUAGAGACCCCAGAGAAGAAACAGGUUUAGAGGCUGGUAAAGCACAGAGUGGGGAAGAGGAGCACUUCAUUUCACCCAGGCAAUGAUUUUCUACUGAUAAGCAUUAACUUCUUCAAUAAAUAGAUAUUUUUGUGUACCUACCACAUUCUAGGCAAUCAGGAUGUAAUAAAGAAUCAAGGCAGACAGGAUUUAUGCUAUUUAGAAUUUGUGGUAUAGUGAGAGACAUACACCUUAAUCAAAUCUAAAACAUCAACUACAGGUUAUGCAAGGUGGGUACAUAGAGCUCUAUGACAAAGUACUACAGGUGUGAAAAUAAGUAAUUCAGAAUCAAAGCUGUUGUAUCUUUAAAUUAUUUUGAGCCUUAAAGAAAUAUAAUUAAGAAACUUGAGUGAUGUGACAGGCAGCUAUAACCUAGAGAACUGUAACCUUAUUUCCACUGAUUAUAGACUAGUGUUUUCUUUACCUACAUUGUUUUUUAAGAUGUUGUGAAAGACUAAUCGAUGCCAGAGAAGACUUCUUCUCUCUUAACUGUUGAUCUUCCUUGCAGAUUAACUUCCCUCUUACUUCCCUUAUACAAAGACCCCACAACUAAUCACAUUGUCUAAGAUGGAGUGUUAAAUAUACUCUGUUAAAUUGUAACAAAAAAAAAAAAAAGAGAAAACAAGCUGUAACUAAUGAAGUUGCUGUAAUUCAUGAACUAGCCUUAUUUGGAAAUGUGUUAUUCUGUUAAAUUUCUUUGUUUUCUGCCUAUAUAAGCAAGACCUUAACUUUUCAGCUUCUGAGCACUGACCUCAUUCCUUUGGAGUCUGUGUUACCCAGAUGUGUAUAUCAGCUUUGUGCUUCAGUAAAUUAUUUUAAAUUGGGUUCUAAUUCUUCUGAUGAUUUCAGAUUGACCCAGGGGACUUGCAAUAGUUAAAGAUGCAAUGGAAGAUUUACUUAGUUCAGUAGUGGUUGAACUGACCUAUGAAAAUCAUAUGUGUUAGCAAGGCAAAGAGUGGGUAGAUCUUUCCAAACAGAUGGAACAUUUUGUAUAAAGGUUUGGUGGAAAGAUAGAAUACACUGCCUUCAUGAAACUGUAUGACAGUCAAUGUGGCAGGCUCACAGAGGCUGGGGGAAACUUAAGACAGGAUGAAGCUAGAAAGGUAUACAGAAGCAAGAACACACAGAACCUAGACAAGUUAGUGUAUCCAAAGUCACAGUACACAG
This 2971-nucleotide long non-coding RNA is filed under the name Homo sapiens (human). RNAcentral describes it as "HSALNT0367170". Lineage: Eukaryota; Metazoa; Chordata; Mammalia; Primates; Hominidae. The record is from RNAcentral.